GAUGAACGCUGGCGGCGUGCCUAAUACAUGCAAGUCGAGCGAACAGACGAGGAGCUUGCUCCUCUGACGUUAGCGGCGGACGGGUGAGUAACACGUGUAUAACCUACCUAUAAGACUGGGAUAACUUCGGGAAACCGGAUCUAAUACCGGAUAAUAUAUUGAACCGCAUGGGUCAAUAGUGAAAGACGGUUUUGCUGUCACGUAUAGAUGGAUCCGCGCCGCAUUAGCUAGUUGGUAAGGUAACGGCUUACCAAGGCAACGAUGCGUAGCCGACCUGAGAGGGUGAUCGGCCACCCGGGAACUGAGACACGGUCAAGACUACUACGGGAGGCAGCAGUAGGGAAUCUUCCGCAAUGGGCGAAAGCCUGACGGAGCAACGCCGCGUGAGUGAUGAAGGUCUUCGGAUCGUAAAACUCUGUUAUGAGGGAAGAACAAAUGUGUAAGUAACUAUGCACGUCUUGACGGUACCUAAUCAGAAAGCCACGGCUAACUACGUG
Molecule: ribosomal RNA, 497 nt
Filed under: uncultured bacterium
Lineage: Bacteria
Description: partial 16S ribosomal RNA
Rfam family: Bacterial small subunit ribosomal RNA
Source: RNAcentral